CCUACGGGGGGCUGCAGUGGGGAAUAUUGGACAAUGGGCGAAAGCCUGAUCCAGCCAUGCCGCGUGUGUGAAGAAGGCCUUCGGGUUGUAAAGCAUUUUCAGUGGGGAAGAAAGCCUUGGGGCUAAUACCCUCGAGGAAGGACAUCACCCACAGAAGAAGCACCGGCUAACUCCGUGCCAGCAGCCGCGGUAAUACGGAGGGUGCGAGCGUUAAUCGGAAUUACUGGGCGUAAAGCGCGCGUAGGCGGUCUGAUAAGCCGGUUGUGAAAGCCCCGGGCUCAACCUGGGAACGGCAUCCGGAACUGUCAGGCUAGAGUGCAGGAGAGGAAGGUAGAAUUCCCGGUGUAGCGGUGAAAUGCGUAGAGAUCGGGAGGAAUACCAGUGGCGAAGGCGGCCUUCUGGACUGACACUGACGCUGAGGUGCGAAAGCGUGGGUAGCAAACAGGAUUAGAUACCCCUGUAGUC
Molecule: ribosomal RNA, 465 nt
Filed under: Vreelandella stevensii
Lineage: Bacteria; Pseudomonadati; Pseudomonadota; Gammaproteobacteria; Oceanospirillales; Halomonadaceae
Description: partial 16S ribosomal RNA
Rfam family: Bacterial small subunit ribosomal RNA
Source: RNAcentral